UCUCUCUCUAUCUAGUCUCUUUUCUUUCUGCUAUUCAACUUCAUAGUUCAUACAUUGACUCUACUACACUACUGCAUUCUCUUCCACUCCCUCAGUUCUCUCACAUUUUCAUCUAGUUCUCUGUCUCUCUCUCUCAAGCUGUUCUUCUUUUUUGUCCAUCAUUAGCAACAAGGUUUUUGAGGAAGAGAAGAGUUACAAGCUGUGUCAGAGAUCAUGGAAGCUUCUAAGCCAGAAGAGAUAAACCACCCACCAAUGGACCAGCUUCAAGGCUUGGAGUACUGUAUAGACUCAAACCCAUCUUGGGUGGAGUCAAUAGCUCUUGGUUUCCAGCAUUAUAUUCUGGCUUUAGGAACUGCUGUCAUGAUUCCUUCAUUCCUUGUGCCUCUGAUGGGAGGAAGUGAUGAUGAUAAAGUUAGGGUGAUUCAGACACUGCUUUUUGUUGAAGGGAUUAAUACAUUGCUACAGACACUCUUUGGAACCCGGUUACCAACAGUGGUAGGAGGAUCUUAUGCAUACAUGGUCCCCAUUAUAUCUAUAAUCCAUGAUUCAUCACUUGUGAAGAUACAGGACCCUCAUUUGAGAUUUCUUAACACAAUGAGAGCAGUCCAAGGUGCAAUGAUAGUAGCAUCAAGUAUACAAAUUAUUUUGGGUUUUAGUCAAUUAUGGGCCAUUUGUUCUAGGUUUUUCAGUCCACUUGGAAUGGCUCCAGUGAUUGCAUUAGUUGGUUUUGGAUUAUUUGACCGAGGUUUCCCUGUGGUUGGACAUUGUGUUGAGAUUGGAAUUCCCAUGUUAGUUCUGUUUGUAGCCUUCUCUCAGUACUUGAAAAGCUUCCAUACCAGACAAAUACCAAUACUAGAGAGGUUUGCACUACUUAUAUCAACCACCAUCAUUUGGGCAUAUGCACAUCUCUUAACAGCAAGUGGAGCAUACAAACACCGCCCGGAACUAACCCAACAUAAUUGCAGAACAGACAGAGCCAAUCUUAUUUCUUCUGCUCCAUGGAUAAAGAUCCCAUACCCUCUUGAGUGGGGUGCUCCUACAUUCAAUGUUGGUCAUGCUUUUGCAAUGACAGCUGCAGUUUUAGUCUCCUUAAUUGAGUCAACUGGGGCAUACAAAGGUGCAUCAAGACUGGCAAGUGCAACACCACCUCCUUCACAUGUUCUAAGCCGUGGUAUUGGCUGGCAGGGAAUUGGAAUACUGCUAAAUGGACUUUUUGGAACAGCAACUGGUUCAUCAGUUUCUGUAGAGAAUGUGGGACUCCUUGGAAGCACUCGCGUUGGAAGUCGAAGGGUCAUUCAAAUUUCAGCUGGCUUUAUGAUAUUCUUCUCAAUGUUAGGAAAAUUUGGAGCUUUCUUUGCAUCAAUACCCUUACCUAUUUUUGCAGCUGCACACUGCAUUCUAUUUGGUCUUGUUGCUUCUGUGGGACUAUCAUUUCUGCAGUUCACUAACAUGAACUCAUUGAGGAACCUCUUUAUUACUGGUGUUGCCCUUUUCUUAGGACUUUCCAUUCCUGAGUAUUUCAGAGAAUACACUGCCAAGGCCCUUCAUGGACCUACUCAUACAAAGGCUAGAUGGUUUAAUGAUUUCCUUAAUACUAUAUUCUUCUCUUCACCAAGUGUUGCAUUGAUUAUUGCUGCAUUCUUGGACAACACACUUGAUUACAAGGAUAGUGGAAAGGAUAGAGGAAUGCCAUGGUGGGCCAAGUUUAGAUCAUUCAAAGGAGAUACCAGGAAUGAAGAAUUCUACACCCUCCCUUUCAACCUCAACCGGUUUUUCCCUCCAUCUUAAGAAGAAAGUUCUAUCUUAAAAGGAAGAUGUAAAAGGAAAAGCAUCAUUCCCAGAGGGUUGUAUAUGUUUUGAUUGAGGUGUGUUUGACUUGUAACUUGAAUCUUUGGAAGUUGGAGCUAAGAAAGAAAGAAAAGAUGACAAUGGUAAUGUAUGGUUUCAGUGCCAAUGAAGAACUGCUAAUAUGUUCUGUCUCUGUUGAGAAGCAGCUUUAGCUUUACCCUAUCUGUGUCUGUCUUCUUCUGCAUAUCAUGUCCUUUUCUGUAUUUAUGUGAUAAAUCACAGUGGAUAGGGAUGCCAUAUUGAUAAUCAUAUAAUAAUGGAUUCUCAUCCACCUAAGUUGCCUCAUCUGG
Arachis duranensis is the source of this 2138-nucleotide RNA transcript. It is a transcript of the gene named nucleobase-ascorbate transporter 2, with no coding region annotated. NCBI's taxonomy places the organism in Eukaryota, Viridiplantae, Streptophyta, Magnoliopsida, Fabales, Fabaceae. The transcript has 14 exons. The record is from RefSeq and is a predicted model, not a curated record.